GAAGCCUGACACAGCAACGCCGCGUGCGGGAGAAGGCCUUCGGGUCGUAAACCGCUUUCAGCAGGAACGAAAAUGACGGUACCUGCAGAAGAGGUGCGGCCAACUACGUGCCAGCAGCCGCGGUGACACGUAGGCACCAAGCGUUGUCUCGGAUUUAUUGGGCGUAAAGAGCUCGUAGGCGGUUCAGCACGUCGGGUGUGAAAACUCUGGGCUCAACCCAGAGCCUGCACCCGAAACUGCUGUGACUAGAGUUCGGUAGGGGAGCGGGGAAUUCCUAGUGUAGCGGUGAAAUGCGCAGAUAUUAGGAGGAACACCGGUGGCGAAGGCGCCGCUCUGGGCUAUAAACUGACGCUGAGGAGCGAAAGCGUGGGUAGCAAACAGGAUUAGAUACCCUGGUAGUCCACGCCGUAAACGUUGGGCACUAGGUGUGGGUCUCUAACCAACGAGAUCCGCGCCGUCGCUAACGCAUUAAGUGCCCCGCCUGGGGAGUACGGUCGCAAGACUAAAACUCAGAAGUAUUGACGGA
RNAcentral lists this ribosomal RNA (526 nucleotides) under uncultured bacterium. Its description in RNAcentral is "bacterial SSU rRNA". It matches the Rfam family "Bacterial small subunit ribosomal RNA", at positions 378 to 917 of the family's 1533-position model. The record is from RNAcentral.